GGGGACGCGUAGCUUCGACAGGUGAGUGCCCUGCCGAGACUGCGAGCCGAGAUCGUCACUGUUCUCGUUAAACAAGUGGCAACAAGUAACUGGCGACAGACAACUCGCCCUCGCAGCCUAAUUAGGCUGUGACGUCUGCCGGAGGCCCUCCUCGAGGCCGAAGGACAGGCGCCGUUAUAUCGAGGUGCUGGCGCUGUAACGCCGAUGGCAGCGCUGAAGAGGGCCGAAAGGCCCAUCGGCUGGUCCUGAGGAGCGAUGCCGGGUGAGCAACCUCAGGGUGAGACACAAACACCGGCUACGCUCGUAGACGUUUCGGGUCAGGAUUCAUCUGGACGGGGGGUGCGACUCCCCCCCGUCUCCACCU
This 364-nucleotide transfer-messenger RNA is filed under the name Dehalococcoidia. Its description in RNAcentral is "VGPF01 sp016875535 Standard tmRNA". It matches the Rfam family "transfer-messenger RNA". Rfam says of the family: Bacterial tmRNA, also known as 10Sa RNA or SsrA, is named for its dual tRNA and mRNA-like properties. The record is from RNAcentral. RNAcentral also lists the same sequence under 1 other name. Lineage: Bacteria; Bacillati; Chloroflexota.